UUUAUAGAAUUAGCGUCAACCGAACCCAACCGUGCACAUUCAGUGGGCUGAAGCAAUACUGAAGUCUAAAUCAUUUCGACAACGUGUGGAUGGUACCAGGGUCAAGGUUCUGAUCUGAGGUUCCAUAGCUUGCUGAUACUAUCAGUUCCCGAUUGUACAAAUCUCUAUCUUGAAGUUUUCAUCAAUGGAGAGAGAGAAUCACAUCACAUCCUUCCUACCAAAGAAUACUUGGCAAUUGAAUGCAUUCAUUUGUGCACCUUUGUUCUUCUUACAUGUAGAACUUUGGCUAUGUUAAAGUGCUUGCCACUAAUUCCAAGCAAGGAGAGAAGGACUUUCAAACAGAGGUGGGGAAGUUGAAGUUCUUCUGACGACGAAUUCUGCCAUAGCUGCAGCUGAAAAGGGUUUAUAUGGUGUUGUGUGUGGGCCAUUUACAAGGUUCGGAUGCCCCUUUCAUCAUUUAGUCAUUCAUACCUCAAAUGAUCAUGGAUUUAUGUGUAUUUAGCUUCUAUAGGUUUGGUUAUAAGCUUGGUUUAGAAGAGCAAUGAUUCUGAUUAGGAAGUAAUGUGAUUAUAAUGUUGUUUGGCAAUGGCAGUUCUCUUUAUGAUGUUGAUGAUGAUGUCAGCAACAAUAUAUUAUUAGGAGUUAUAUAAUUUAUAUAAUA
Long non-coding RNA from Magnolia sinica, 661 nucleotides. RefSeq lists it as uncharacterized. Lineage: Eukaryota; Viridiplantae; Streptophyta; Magnoliopsida; Magnoliales; Magnoliaceae. The transcript is spliced from 2 exons. The record is from RefSeq and is a predicted model, not a curated record.